This 818-nucleotide ribosomal RNA is filed under the name uncultured bacterium. RNAcentral's name for it is "bacterial SSU rRNA". It matches the Rfam family "Bacterial small subunit ribosomal RNA", at positions 556 to 1371 of the family's 1533-position model. The record is from RNAcentral.
GGGGCGUAAGGGUGCGUAGGCGGUUCCGUAAAUCUUGUGUGAAUUCUUCGGGCUCAACUUGAAGUCUGCUUUGUGACUGCCGGGCUUGAGUGUGGGAGAGGUGAGUGGAAUUUCCGGUGUAGCGGUGAAAUGCGUAGAUAUGUGGAAGGAACACCUGUGGCGAAAGCGGCUCACUGGACCAUAACUGACGCUGAUGCACGAAAGCUGGGGAGCAAACAGGAUUAGAUACCCUGGUAGUCCUACCCCUAAACGAUGAUCGCUUGUGGUGGCGGGUACCCUCUCCCGUCACGCCGCUACUAACGCGUUAUGCGAUCCUGCUGGGGAGUACGGUCGCAAGGCUGAAACUCAGAGGAAUUGACGGGGGCCCGCACAAGCGGUGGAUCAGGUGGAUUAAUUCGACGCAACGCGAACAACCUUACCUGGGCUCAAAAUGUAAAGGAAUCCGGUGGAAACAUCGUGCUUCUAGCAAUAAACCUCUAUAUAGUGUGCUGCAUGGCUGUCGUCAGCUCGUGUCGUGAGAUGUUGGGUUAAGUCCCGCAACGAGCGCAACCCUUAUUACCAGUUGCUACCAUUUAGUUGAGCACUCUGGUGAGACUGCCUCGGAUAACGGGGAGGGAGGCGGGGGAUGACCUCCAGUCCUCAUGGCCUUAAUGUCCCGGGCUACACACGUGCUACAAUGCUCAGUACAAACCGGUGCAAACCCGCAAGGGAUAGCUAAUCGGAAAAAGCCGGCCUCAUUUCGGAUUGCAGUCUGCGACUCUGCUGCUUGAAUCUGGAAUCGCUAGUGAUCGCGGAUCAGAGUGCAGCGGUGAAUACGU